GGAGGGAUGGCCGAGCGGUCGAAGGCGGCGGUCUUGAAAACCGUUAACCGAAAGGUUCGCGGGUUCGAAUCCUGCUCCCUCCGCCA
Molecule: transfer RNA, 86 nt
Filed under: Deltaproteobacteria bacterium
Lineage: Bacteria; Pseudomonadati; Myxococcota; Myxococcia
Also listed under: 1 other name
Description: tRNA-Ser
Rfam family: tRNA
About the family: Transfer RNA (tRNA) molecules are approximately 80 nucleotides in length. Their secondary structure includes four short double-helical elements and three loops (D, anti-codon, and T loops).
Source: RNAcentral